RNAcentral lists this ribosomal RNA (482 nucleotides) under uncultured bacterium. Its description in RNAcentral is "partial 16S ribosomal RNA". It matches the Rfam family "Bacterial small subunit ribosomal RNA", at positions 29 to 507 of the family's 1533-position model. The record is from RNAcentral.
AUUGAACGCUGGCGGCAUGCUUUACACAUGCAAGUCGAACGGUAACAGGCCGCCAGGUGCUGACGAGUGGCGGACGGGUGAGUAAUGCAUCGGAACGUGCCCAGCCGUGGGGGAUAACUACUCGAAAGAGUAGCUAAUACCGCAUACGAUCUAUGGAUGAAAGCGGGGGACCGUAAGGCCUCGCGCGAUUGGAGCGGCCGAUGUCAGAUUAGGUAGUUGGUGGGGUAAAGGCUCACCAAGCCAACGAUCUGUAGCUGGUCUGAGAGGACGACCAGCCACACUGGGACUGAGACACGGCCCAGACUCCUACGGGAGGCAGCAGUGGGGAAUGUUGGACAAAGGGCGCAAGCCUGAUCCAGCAAUGCCGCGUGCAGGAAGAAGGCCUUCGGGUUGUAAACUGCUUUUGUACGGAACGAAACGGCUCUGGUUAAUACCCGGGGCUAAUGACGGUACCGGAAGAAUAAGCACCGGCUAACUACGUG